This 379-nucleotide unclassified non-coding RNA is filed under the name uncultured bacterium. RNAcentral's name for it is "contains 16S-23S intergenic spacer region". The record is from RNAcentral.
UCCGGUUUAUCACCGGCAGUCCCCUAUGAGUCCCCGGCCGAACCGCUGGUAACAUAGGGCAAGGGUUGCGCUCGUUGCGGGACUUAACCCAACAUCUCACGACACGAGCUGACGACAGCCAUGCAGCACCUGUCCAGAUGUCCCGAAGGAGGGCCCGUGUUUCCACGGGCUUUCACCUGGAUGUCAAGCCCAGGUAAGGUUCUUCGCGUUGCAUCGAAUUAAGCCACAUACUCCACCGCUUGUGCAGGCCCCCGUCAAUUUCUUUGAGUUUCAGCCUUGCGGCCGUACUCCCCAGGCGGGGUGCUUAACGCGUUAGCUGCGACGCUGAAAGGGUCGCUCCCCCCAGCAUCUAGCACCCAUCGUUUACGGCGUGGACUAC